CAAGCGGUGGAGCAUGUGGUUUAAUUCGACGCAACGCGCAGAACCUUACCAGCCCUUGACAUGUCCCGUAUGGGUUUCAGAGAUGAGAUCCUUCAGUUCGGCUGGCGGGAAUACAGGUGCUGCAUGGCUGUCGUCAGCUCGUGUCGUGAGAUGUUGGGUUAAGUCCCGCAACGAGCGCAACCCCCGCCUUUAGUUGCCAUCAUUUAGUUGGGCACUCUAAAGGGACUGCCGGUGAUAAGCCGCGAGGAAGGUGGGGAUGACGUCAAGUCCUCAUGGCCCUUACGGGCUGGGCUACACACGUGCUACAAUGGCGGUGACAGAGGGAUGCAAAGGGGCGACCCUUCGCAAAUCUCAAAAAGCCGUCUCAGUUCGGAUUGGGCUCUGCAACUCGAGCCCAUGAAGUUGGAAUCGCUAGUAAUCGCAGAUCAGCACGCUGCGGUGAAUACGUUCCCGGGCCUUGUACACACC
RNAcentral lists this ribosomal RNA (468 nucleotides) under uncultured bacterium. RNAcentral describes it as "bacterial SSU rRNA". It matches the Rfam family "Bacterial small subunit ribosomal RNA", at positions 926 to 1391 of the family's 1533-position model. The record is from RNAcentral.